CCUUCCUUCUUUCCUUCCUGCCUGCCUUCUUGCCUGUCUUUCUGUCUUUCUGGCUAUGAAGAGUGCCAUAGCUAACAACCUUGUAGAUGAUCCACAUAGUACCUAGAAGAGGGCACCUUUUAUUUUAGGGGGUGGAUUUCUGACAGUGGGCUUGCUGGGUGAAAGGCACAUGCACUUUUAACUAAAGAGACGCUAUCAGAAAGCUCUUCUAAAACGCAAACAGUCGUGACGUUUUUAUAGGCCGUGUGUGAGCGUACUCUUUUGCACACAUUCGUGCCAUCACUAGGUGACACAGGCUUGUCUUUCCAUUUUGUCAGCAUGAUGAAUAUAAAAUGAUACUUCGCUAUUUCGCCAUCUUCAUUGUCCUGCCACCAAGCGACUUGGACCGUCUUUUUAUUUUCCACUGGGCCGUCUGGGCUGGUUCCUCCAACGCCUUCUCGCAGCUCCUGCCCAUUCUUCUGUUGGGCUGUUCGUCUCCAUCUCGACAGUCUGCCCUGGCAACCACUGUUCCACUUUCAGUCUCCAUCGGUUUUCCUACUUUGCACACUUUGCGUAAGUGGAAUCACACGGUAUUUGCCUUCCUGUGACUGGCUUGCUUCACUCAGCAUAAAGGACCCCGAAGUUCAUCGAUGUUGUGGCAUACGAUAACACGUCCUUCCUGUUGAGGCUGAAUGAUUUUCGCGGUGUAUAUAGACCACAUGUUGCUGAUCUGUCCGUCCACUGACGGGCCCUUGGGUCACUCCCACCUGAUCGCCAUUGCAGCGGCCACGCCAUUUUCCAUCCCUUCCAACAAUGUACAAGGGUCUUGAUUGCUCCCAAUCCUUGUCAACGCUUUUUUUUUUCUUUAUUUCUUUAGUAGCCAUCGUAACGCGUGGAAGUGACAUCCUACUGUAGUUUUGAUCUGCAUUGUCCUGACGUUGAGGGACGUGGAGCAUCUUUUCGUGUACUUCUUGUCUGUCUGUGUACCUUGGGGAGGACCUUUGUCUUGAGGCUGGCACAGGCUUGAUCCCACAGAGGAAGCUGAUAUUCAGCCCUGGGCUCAAAUUCCCAGAACCGGAAUAAGAGUGCUGAUGUUUGCCUCCGCUAUUUAGAGGCCAUGGAAAUAGCCUGACAUAGUGCAGCCCCCACCCCCUAAUUCCCCCAAUGAAACAGACGAUGACAACAGCAGCAGAGGUCCCCUGGGGCACAUGCCCUAAUCAAUUUCCCUAUCACCUGGCCCCAGAUCCCUGAUGCGGGAACCACUGUAGGCUCCAUCACUUCCAGCUUGCAUCAUCUUGGGCAACCGCGACCCAGUACUCUUCUUACAAAACGGAUCUUGACUUGUUUUUCUGUAAGGUCAGGAAAAUACCUCCAGGAGCUGUCCAGAGGAUCGAGCACUGAAUGCAUAUGAAGUCACUUUGAAAUGUGUUUGAAACAUUAGGGACAUAGGACCUCUCUGGCAGCUUAUCAGCGGACGCCUGAUUUCAUUCUGCGAGCUGCUGAACCCCAGAGAGGAAUGGUUAACCCCCCCCCUUUUUUUGAGCGAGCAUAAGAGGCGACUUGAGUUUGGCUCCUUAAAUGUAUCUAUAUGGUAUUAAAAGCUCCCCUUCCGUAAAUGUGUCAGAGGGGAGAGGCUUAGCCGUGGUAGGAUGUCCUAGUCAAAGGUAGGAUUCAUAAGAUAAGGUGCUAAGCAGUGGAAGCCCCUCCCUCCUGUCCCCACCCAGGGUUUCCAAAAGCACUGGUGAGCUGCUGGUCAGUGAAUGCGUGGCUGGGUGCUUGAUGAGAGUGGUCCUUUACAGUUGAGGACCAAGGUCCUGGGGAGUCUUGGGGAUGAGCAGGCAGACGCCUCGCCCCACCUGUUAACUAUGGCCACAUUCAUCCCUCUGACUCCUCCUUCUGAUAGCCAGGUACCUUUUGAGCCCAGAAACAUUAUUUCUGCCAUUUACAUCGUAUCCAAAAAAAAAAAAAAAAAAUUGGAAAAUAUAAGUAAUAAAAGUGAAAUCUGCUGGUUGGCAAAGUACGUCAUGAAUCACAGCGGUUCUCCGAAGCAUUUGAGCCAAGAGGAUAUUUUGGUUUAAACAAGUAAUGUGAUUCCGGCCAAAAUGGCUUCCAGAUUUGAACUUCCAAAAAAAUCGUCACGGUUCACCAUGUCGCUUGGCUGACACACACAGGGCGAUCCCCCCUCCUAGGACGAAAGGAAAUUUCUAGGAAAAAUCAAAGUCAGCCUGUAUAUUUUCUCACCGGAGGGCAUGGGAAGAAGAGAGACAAAAUAGGGAUCGUUACAACGUUGUAAUCUGUUAGUCAUCCAAACACCUUUCUCUGUGUUCUAUAAAUUCUAUUCCAGCUGCAUAAACUGCACUAGACCCAAGGACGGCCUCCACGAGGAAAAAAAAAAAAAAGAAGAAGAAGAA
This is a long non-coding RNA of Herpailurus yagouaroundi (jaguarundi), 2390 nucleotides long. RefSeq lists it as uncharacterized. The transcript has 2 exons. The record is from RefSeq and is a predicted model, not a curated record. Lineage: Eukaryota; Metazoa; Chordata; Mammalia; Carnivora; Felidae.